This is an RNA transcript of Microplitis mediator, 566 nucleotides long. RefSeq lists it as uncharacterized. The record is from RefSeq and is a predicted model, not a curated record. The transcript is spliced from 6 exons. Lineage: Eukaryota; Metazoa; Arthropoda; Insecta; Hymenoptera; Braconidae.
AGAAUUUAAUAAUCAUAAGAUUUAAUGUGUCGUCUCUUAUUUUUAUUAUUGAAGAAAAAAAAAGUGCUAAUGAUUUUAUAACGAGUCCGUUGAAGAGUAUGUACAAUUUAUUGAAUGCAUUGAGAUUCAAAGGCAAGAUAUAAAAUCAGUGGAUGUACUACUAUUGGCUCAUCUUAUCUCAAUAACCAAUCGACAGUUCGUGCGUUAUCAGUCCGAAGGAUUGGAACAACAGAGGAAUAUAUAAAUACGUGGGUACCGUAAAAAUUAAGCCAUAUACUUCAACCGCCUUCAAUUGUAUCUGCAUUACUUGCUCAGAUUCAUCUAAAAUGUUGAGAGCCCUUCUUAUCUUCGCCAUAAUCGCAAUAUUUGGCUUUGUUGCAACAGAAGCUUCGUGCAUUUCAAUGGGAAGACCUGGUCAGUGGGGGGAAUGCUGUCGAAAUUAUUACGUGGAUGAGAAUGGCUUCUGUCAGCACGUGUAAAACUAUAAGGAAUUGUAAACUAUCACAAUGAUAUAUUAUUAGCAAUUCUACAAAUAAAAAUAUUUUCAUUUGAAAUAAUUUAAACAA